GUGCCAGCAGCCGCGGUAAUACGUAGGGUGCAAGCGUUAAUCGGAAUUACUGGGCGUAAAGCGUGCGCAGGCGGUUUUGUAAGACAGUGGUGAAAUCCCCGGGCUCAACCUGGGAACUGCCAUUGUGACUGCAAGGCUAGAGUGCGGCAGAGGGGGAUGGAAUUCCGCGUGUAGCAGUGAAAUGCGUAGAUAUGCGGAGGACACCGAUGGCGAAGGCAAUCCCCUGGGCCUGCACUGACGCUCAUGCACGAAAGCGUGGGGAGCAAACAG
This 270-nucleotide ribosomal RNA is filed under the name uncultured Burkholderiales bacterium. Its description in RNAcentral is "partial 16S ribosomal RNA". It matches the Rfam family "Bacterial small subunit ribosomal RNA", at positions 505 to 775 of the family's 1533-position model. Lineage: Bacteria; Pseudomonadati; Pseudomonadota; Betaproteobacteria; Burkholderiales. The record is from RNAcentral.